AUUGAACGCUGGCGGCAUGCUUUACACAUGCAAGUCGAACGGCAGCGCGGGCUUCGGCCUGGCGGCGAGUGGCGAACGGGUGAGUAAUGCAUCCGAACGUGCCCAGUAGUGGGGGAUAGCCCGGCGAAAGCCGGAUUAAUACCGCAUACGACCUGAGGGUGAAAGCGGGGGACCGAAAGGCCUCGCGCUAUUGGAGCGGCCGAUGUCGGAUUAGCUAGUUGGUGGGGUAAAGGCUUACCAAGGCGACGAUCCGUAGCUGGUCUGAGAGGACGACCAGCCACACUGGGACUGAGACACGGACCAGACUCCUACGGGAGGCAGCAGUGGGGAAUUUUGGACAAUGGGGGCAACCCUGAUCCAGCCAUGCCGCGUGCGGGAAGAAGGCCUUCGGGUUGUAAACCGCUUUUGUUCGGGAAGAAAUCCUCUGGGCUAAUACCCCGGGGGGAUGACGGUACCGGAAGAAUAAGCACCGGCUAACUACGUG
RNAcentral lists this ribosomal RNA (484 nucleotides) under uncultured bacterium. Its description in RNAcentral is "partial 16S ribosomal RNA". It matches the Rfam family "Bacterial small subunit ribosomal RNA", at positions 29 to 507 of the family's 1533-position model. The record is from RNAcentral.